Molecule: long non-coding RNA, 282 nt
Filed under: Fukomys damarensis (Damara mole-rat)
Lineage: Eukaryota; Metazoa; Chordata; Mammalia; Rodentia; Bathyergidae
Description: lncRNA (ENSFDAG00000031114.1)
Source: RNAcentral
GCUUUAUGUGAUACCAUGAAUGUUCACAGGUUGUGUCAUGGAGGCAGCAGGACAGAGAGGCUUCAGUGGGGCUACCGUUCUACAACAAACCACCCAAGCACACAGAAGAGGAUAGCCCAGUCCUUUUAUGCUGUUUCACAAGAGGAGCACAGCAGUCUUCAAAGAAGCAAACAGAAAACAGCCUGGAAGCCCUUGGAGAAACCAUCCUGACUUCACACCACCUGAGAGGUGUUCCAAGGCAAGACCUUCCUGAUACAGUCCCACAGGACAGCAACAGUGUCC